This 72-nucleotide transfer RNA is filed under the name marine sediment metagenome. Its description in RNAcentral is "tRNA-Met". It matches the Rfam family "tRNA". Rfam says of the family: Transfer RNA (tRNA) molecules are approximately 80 nucleotides in length. Their secondary structure includes four short double-helical elements and three loops (D, anti-codon, and T loops). Further hydrogen bonds mediate the characteristic L-shaped molecular structure. tRNAs have two regions of fundamental functional importance: the anti-codon, which is responsible for specific mRNA codon recognition, and the 3' end, to which the tRNAs corresponding amino acid is attached (by aminoacyl-tRNA synthetases). tRNAs cope with the degeneracy of the genetic code in two manners: having more than one tRNA (with a specific anti-codon) for a particular amino acid; and 'wobble' base-pairing, i.e. permitting non-standard base-pairing at the 3rd anti-codon position. The record is from RNAcentral.
AGCGGGAUAGCCAAGCGGUAAGGCGUCGGGCUCAUAACCCGAAGAUGGGAGGUUCGAUCCCUCCUCCCGCUA